UAAGAAUGCUAACACAUAUUCCCGGAAAAUUGCUCUUUCUGCUGUCAGAGCACCAGUGACCAAAAUUGCAGGCAAAACCACGUAUAAUAGAUGGGGAAGAACCACCACUAUGAUAUCAGGAGAUCCAACAUACUCAAGCUUCCCCUCUCCAUUAGAAGUCUCUAUGGCCCACCCCAUAUAGGUCAUGUAUACCAUAUUUUCCCCUUCAUUGAAAACUUGCCCCAUAAACCAGGGGGACAAUAUCAGAUACAAUAGGUAUGCUAUCCAACCAAACCAUAAUGUGUUGAUCCUGCACAGCUCCUGGAGAAACCAUAAUACACCAUUUACCAAGCCUUUAUUGACAAUGAAGUUCUUGUAAGUGUAUCUCUUCUCUAGAAAAACAAGGAGAGCUUUUGGAAGAAGAAGGAAUAAGAAGAAAAAGUAAAGAGCAGACCAGAAUAUUGGGUAGUAUAGGGCAGCCCAUUGACACCCCAUGACCAUGAACUCCUUCCAGCUCCAAGAAAGUUUGAGGCUAAGACCAUUGAUAGAAAACGGCCUCAAUUCAGUCAAAGUUGAUCUGCCUGCACUGUCAUUUGCUUCAAUUUGAAGCCAAUAUCUAUCAGGAGAAGCAUCCUCAAAGGCUUUGUAAUUCCAUGGUGCAAGAUAGAGGUCUCCCGUGGUGUUCUCAUCAUCAUGCCUGAUCAUAUGUGUUUCUAAUACUAAAUCAAGGUUUCCAGAUUUUGAGUCGUAGAUCCUAGCUACAACUGAUGCAACUGGGGCAACAGAAAACACCAGAGCUCGAAUUUUCUCAUAAGAUGAAGGGAGCACAGAUUUACAUUCAUAGUUGUGACGGCAUGAAGAUGUUAUCAUGAAGCGAGAGUCUAAUGGAAAAGUGGGCAAUAUAAUUGCAGGUUUGGUUCCUGAUUUGAAAUCAACAUCAACAUAUGAAACAUGACCUCUAUCAAUGGCUAAAAUUCGAAAGGCUCUACUCUUCCUCCAAUCACCCAUCUCCCACUCCCAAAAGUCUUGAAUUGGGAGAAAAAUGACCACUCAACUGAUGGUGCCGCUUUAAGUUCACACCAAAUCCAGUAUGGAGAUGCCCACACAGGUAAGCUGAUAGGGAAUGCUUUAGGAAAACAUCCUCCAAG
RNAcentral lists this small RNA (1127 nucleotides) under Vigna angularis var. angularis. RNAcentral describes it as "Non-protein coding transcript". Lineage: Eukaryota; Viridiplantae; Streptophyta; Magnoliopsida; Fabales; Fabaceae. The record is from RNAcentral.